This 7188-nucleotide long non-coding RNA is filed under the name Sus scrofa (pig). RNAcentral describes it as "lncRNA (ENSSSCG00055022265.1)". The record is from RNAcentral. Lineage: Eukaryota; Metazoa; Chordata; Mammalia; Artiodactyla; Suidae.
UAUUUUUAUUAAAAAUUUUUUUUUGCUUUUUAGGGCUUCACCGAAGGCAUAUGGAAGUUGCUAGGCUAGGGCUCGAAUCAGAGCUAUAGCCACCAGCCUACGCCACAGCCACAGCAACACCAGAUCCAAGCCAUGGCUGCGACCUACAUAUACCACAGCUCAUGGCAACACUGGAUCCUUAACCCACUCAGCGAGACCAGGGAUCGAACCCUCAACCCCAUGGUUACUAGUCGGAUUCAUUUCUGCUGUGCCACAACGCGAACUCCGUGUUAUUUUUUAAAAGUAAAAUGACACUAUUAUGGCUAUGUUUUUAAAAGUUCUUAUCUUCUAAAGAUAAGUACUUAAAUAUGUGUGGAUAAAAUUAUAUGAUAUCUGGGAUUGACUUCAAAAUAAUUUGAGAGGGAAUGGAUGGAGAUGAAAAAGAUUGGCCAUGAGUUAUAAUUGUUGAUGUUGUUUCAGGGAUUUUAUUGUAAUACUAUUCUUUCUAUUUUUGUAUAGGUUUUUUAAAGAUGAAAUUUCCCAUAAUAAAAACGUUUUAGAAAAAGAUUAGGAUAAGAUCACAGAUGUCUUUCCAAUUCUUUUUUUUUUUUUUUUAUUCUGCUCUUUGGAAUACUGUUAAGUCUCAGCCAGUGUUUACUCUGACUAUUUAGGUUACAUAACUGGCCUUUGAGUUUUAUACAACUGGUAUUUUUUUAAUUACAAAAGUAAUGUGAAAUAAUUAGAAUAUUGGCCUCCACCAUCCCCUUUCCCAAAUUUCCAUUGCUCCUGCAGUAAUCAGGGUAUCUUUCCACACUUUUUUCCUGUGGCCAUUUGAAUAUAUACAUAUAUACCUAUACAGGCUUUGGUGUUUUGUUUUUUUUUUUAACAUGGCUUUUUUUUUUUUUCCCCACUGUACAGCAAGGGGGUCAGGUUAUCCUUACAUGGAGUUUUUUGUUUUAUUUUAUUUACCAAAUUUGCGCUACAUAUUUAUCAUUUGAUCACCAUAACCAUCAAGGACAUCCUCUAGUAAAUAGACAGGGAUGUAAUUCAUCCUCAAAAUAGCAGCAAAAUAAGAUGCAAACUAUUAUAUAUAGGAUGGAUAAACUAUAGGGUUCUACUGUAUAGCACAGAGAACUGUAUUAAAUAUCCCGUGAUAAACCAUGAUGGAAUUAUUUUGUUCUUUUAUAUGGCUGAGUAGUAUUCCAUUGUGUAUAUAUAACACAUCUUCUUGAUCCAUUUAUCUGUUGAUGGACAUUUAGGUUGUUUCCAUGUCUUGGCCAUUGUCUUUUUGCCUUUUUGCAACUAUUUUUUUUGUCUUUUUGCCUUUUCUGGGGCUGCUCCCACGGCAUAUGGAAGUUCCCAGACUAGGGGUCUAAUCGGAGCUAUAGCCACCGGCCUAUGCCAGAGCCACAGCAAUGCAGGAUCCAAGCCUCGUCUGCAACCUACACACAGCUCAUGGCAACGCCAGAUCCUUAACCCACUGAGCAAGGUCAGGGAUUGAACCCGCAACCUCAUGGUUCUUAGAUUCGUUAACCACUGAACCAUGAUGGGAACUCCCAGGUGCAUGUGUCUUUUUCAAGGAAAGUUUUAUCUGGAUAUAUGCCCAAGAGUGGGAUUGCUGGGUCAUAUCAUAGUUCUGUAUUUAGUUUUCUGAGGUUCCUCCAUACUGUUCUCCACAGUGGUUGUACCAAUUUAUGUUCCCACUGACAGUGUAGUAGAGUAUCCUUUUCUCUAUAUCCUCUCCAGCAUUUGUUAUUUGUUGACUUGUUAGUGAUGGCCAUUCUGACCAGCGUGAGGUGGUACCUCAUGGUAGGUUUUAUUUGCAUUUCUCUAUCAAUUAGUGAUGUUGAGCAUUUUUUUCAUGUGCCUGUUAGCCAUCUGUAUAUCUUCUUUGGAGAAAUGUCUAUUCAGGUCUUUUGCCCAUUUUUCAAUUGGGCAGCAACGUGGACAGAACUAGAGAAUCUCAUACCAAGUGAAGUCAGAAAGAGAAGGACAGAUACCAUAUGAUAUCACUUAUAUCUGGAAUCUAAUAUAUGGCACAAAUGAACUUUUCCGCAGAAAAGAAAUACAUGGACUUGGAGAACAGACUUGUGGUUGCCAAGGGGGAGGGAGUGGGAUGGACUAGGGGUCUGGGGUUAAUAGUUGCAAAUUAUGGCAUUUGGAAUGGAUAAGCAGUGAUCCUGGUGUAUAGCACAGGGAACUGUAUCUAGUCACUUGUGUUGGAAAAUGAUGGAGGAUAAUGUGAGAAAAAGAAUGUACAUAUAUAUGUGUGACUGGGUCACUUUGCUGUAUAGUAGAAAUUGACAGAACACUGUAAAAAGUAAAAAUCAUUAAAAAAUUUUUUUUAAAACCAUAAUGGAAAAGAAUGCAAAAGAGAAUGUGUAUAUAUGUACAAUGGAAUCCCUUUGCUGUACAGCAGACUUUAAUACUUUAUAAAUCAAGUAUACUUCAAUAAAAUGAAUUUUUAAAAAAUAGUUGCAAAAUAUUCCAUCAUCUGUAUAUUAAUAGAAAUAUAGGUUUGAUUUGUCUAAGAGUGGCUUAAACUAUCAUAGAAAGUUCUCCUUCAGUUAACAGGCCAGAGCAAUCAGCUUUAGAUAGCUGAUCCCGUGUUAGAGACCCAGUUAUGACCCUUCCCUUCAAUGGUCACAGCCAGAAGUUACAAACGUUGCCUUUAUCCGCUCAUGUCCCAGAAUUUUGUCGUGGGGUCACAGCCUUUCCUUAUUGACAGAUACUCACGUUCGCCAUCACAAACACUGCUGUAUUAACAUUCUUGUACAUAGAUCCUGUGUGUACUUUCACUGUUAAUUUCUCUAGGAUGUUUUCCCCCAAAUGGAAUUGCUAUAGCUCUGCAUUUAUAGCAAUUAUGAACUAAAUUAAUUAUAAACUAAACAACUAAUUAUGAACUAAAAUACUUGAAGACAAUUUUGCAGUUGGAUUCAGAUUCUAGUUAGUAAAGUUCUCUAACUCUUGAAACCUUCAUUUCCAAAAGGUCAGACACCAUGUCCGACUGGCUUACCACAGUAUCUAGAGCCUGGCCCAGGGACCCAUGCUUAGUGUGUUCCUGAUGAAUGUUGCAUGAGUGCGGGGAUGAACACUUAGGAAUUUAAUUUACAUAGUUAUGUUUAAUCUUUAUAUUUGCCAGGAUUCUGUAGGUGGCAAGGAACACAAAUCCAAGUCAAACCACCUUCGCAAAGAAGAUGGUUUUAUUAGGAGCAGACUCAGUCCAAUCAAAGACACAGAAGCCAGGGCAGCCUGGACAUCUCAGGGACUAAAACUAGCAGGACUCUUUCUCCAACUCUCUCUCUCUCUUUUCUCACCCUCUUCUUGUGUGUGUAUGAUGACCUUUUAUUGCACAUUUUCAUUGAGUUUCUGAGUCCCAAGGCUCAUAUCCCAACAGUCAUCCAUGAGAGAAGAAGUUUUGUCUCAGCAGUUCUAUUCAUAAAACUUGUUACAGGAGCACUUGAAUUGAGGUCUUUGGUUAUACACCAUUGGAAAAAAAAUCUGUCACCAGAGGAAAGGUGGGGGAGAGGCAGUGUUGUUAGUGAAGCAUUGCACAUGGAACAAAGAUUUUUUUUUUUUUUGCUUUUUAUAUUUUAAAUAAUCAUAUGCAAGUUGUAUUACUAUCAAGUGCUUAAAAAAACUGGAAACAAUUUUAAUAUAAUGAACUUUUUAAUACAUUUUUAAUAGAGUAUAGUUGACUUAUAAUGUUAUGCUGGUUUCAAGUGUAUAGCAAAGGGAGUCAGUUAUCAAUAUAUCCAUUCUUUUUCAAAUUCUUUUCCUGUAUAAGUUAUUACAGAAUAUUGAGUAGAGUUCCCUGUGCUGUACAGUAGGUUCUGCUUUAUAUUUUAUAUGUAGUAUUGUACGUUAAUCCCAAACUAUUAAUUUAUCCCUUGUCUUCACCUUUCCCUUUGGUAACCAUAAGUUUGAUUUCAAAAGCUGUGAGUCUGUUUCUGUCUUGUAAAUCCGUUCUUUUGAUUCCACAUAUAAGUGAUAUCAUAUAUUUGUCUUUCUCUGUAUGACAUUUCACUUGGUAUGAUAAUCUCUAGGUCUAUCCAUGUUGCUGCAAAUGGCAUUAUCUUUUCUUUUUUAUGGUUGAGUGUUAUUCCAUUGCAUAUAUACCUACCACAUCUUCUUUAGCCAUUCCUCUGUUGAUAGACGUUUAGGUUGCUUUUAUGUCUUGGCAAUUGUAAAACAGUGCUGCUAUGAACAUUAGAGUGCGUGUAUCUUUUCAAAUUAUGGUUUUCUCUGGAUAUAUGCCCAGCUAGGGAUUGCUGGGUCAUACGGUAGUUCUAUAUUUAGUUUUUUAAGGGAUCUCCAUGCUGUUCUCCAUAGUGGUUGUACCAGUUUACAUUCCCACCAACAGUGUAGGAGGGUUCCCUUUUCUCCACACUCAUUCCAGCAUUUAUUGUAGACUUUUUGAUAAUGGGCCAUUCUGACUGGUAUAAGGUGAUAGAUACCUCACUGUAGUUUUGUUUGCAUUUCUCUAAUAUUCAGUGAUGUUAAGCAUCUUUUUGUGUACUUUUUGGCCAUCUGUCUUUCCUCUUUGGAAAAAUGUCUAUUUAGAUCUGCCCAUUUUUUAAUUGGGUUGUUUUUAUGAUACAGAGCUGCAUGAGAUGUUUGUAUAUUUUAGAGAUUAGUCCCUUGUUAGUCACUUUGCAAAGAUUUUCUCCCAUUCUGUGUAUUGUCUUUUUGGUUUUUUGUUUGUUUUAUAGUUUCCUUUGCUGUGCAAAAGCUUUUAAGUUUCGUUAGGUCCCAUUUGUUUGUUUUGCUUUUAUUUUCAUUGCUCUGGGAGGUAGCCUCUAAAAGGAUAUUGCAUUUAUUUAUGUCAAAGAGUGCUGUGCCUCUGUUUUCUUCUAAGAGUUUUGCAGUAUCUGGCCUUACAUUUAAGUCUUUAAUUCAUUUUGAAUUUAUUUUUGUCUUUAGUGUUAAAGAAUAUUCUAAUUUCAUUCUUUUACAUGUAGCUUUCCGGUUUUCCCAGCACCAAUUACUGAAGAGUCUGUGUUUUCUCCAUUGUAUAUUAUUGCCUUCUUUGUUUAAAUUAGUUGACCAUAGGUGCAUGGGUUUAUCUCUAGGCUUUCUAUCUUGUUCCACUAAUCUGUAUUUCUGUUUCUAUGUAAAACUGUUUUGAUGACUGUAGUUUGCAGUAUAGUCUGAGGUCAGGGAGCCAGACUCUUCCAGUUCCUUUUUUGUUUUUCAAGGUUACUCUGGCUAUUCAGAGUCAUUUGUGUUUUCAUACAUGAAGCACUUUAUAAUAUCUAAAAUUGUGUUUUGUUAUAUGGGGAUGGAAUCCCCCUGUUAGAACAUAACUGUUAGUCUUAAAUUAUAUAUCUCUAAAUUUCUUAGAUUUUUUGGAAUGAUUUUUCACAAAAGUGAGGAACGCCUGUGCAUGUACUACAGUUACUGGAGCAGUCAUCAGGACAUGGGAUUGGGAAUCCUUCCCUUUGGCUGCAGUUUUCACUGUGUUAUUAACUGUGGCACAAGAUAUACCCUAGGCCUCAGUUCUGUGUUUGUAUUUGCUUUUAAAUCAAUUUUAUGGGGUUUUUUGUUUUUGUUUGUAUGUUUGUUUUUUAAUCUAUAAAAUGAUGGGAUGAAAAACAAUAUUUACUUCACAUACUGAAGAUCAAGAGAGGUGAUGGAUGUGGAAAAAAAGGUUAAUUACAAAGUACAAACAUUAAGUAGUUAUUAUUGUAAACUAUUUCUAAAAUGAUAUUCUUAACAUGGGAUGCAGGACCCCCCAAAAUUAUAUGCAAAUUUGAAUGUGUUUAUACCUCUAUCAGUUAAUAUUUGGUUCAGCUGUAGAGUGUCAGAACACCAAGUUCAAACACCUAUCAACAUUCUGUUUUCUCACAUUAUCAUGCUCCAUCAUAAGUGACUAGACAUUGGACAGUAGAAAAAAAAAUUGUAUUGGGGAAAUAACAAUAAAAAAAAAGUGCAAACACCUAUCAAAACCUAAGUUCACUUCCUCUCAAAGUGUGCAAACUCCAGAGAUAAGCCAUCUAGGACAAGUAUGGCAGAGCCACAAUCAUCAGCAGCCCAGUCUCCUUUCCUCUUGUUGUUCUGCUUUACUAAGCCUCUUGUUUUCCCCUCAAAGUCCAAACUGACAGCUUAGACACUUCAGCCAGCGUAAAGAUGAAAGUAGAGAAGGAGUAGAAGAAAGCCAUGAUCCCUCCCCUUAAGAAUACUUCCUGGAAGUUGAACAUAUCAUUUAUGCUUACAUCCCCUUGAAUUUAGAUGCAUGGCCACACCUCAUUUGAAGAGCAACUAAGAAAUGUAGUCUUUUUUUCUGGAGCUUUCAUUACUAAGCAAGAAGAGAGAGUAAAGGGAGAAUUUUCUGUGUCUGCAAUAAUAUGGAUAUAUAUUUCAAGUAGAAUAAUGAGAGGAUAGAAAUAUAUGUAUUUCAAAUAGAGCUUCAUCAGACUCUUAAAGAGCUCUAUAAUAAACAUUUAAAAAACCACUAUUCCAAAGUGUAAUUAUUAUAUAAACCUGUAGAUCAGAAGUUGUCUUUCUAGGUCACCUUCAAUCUGUACUGUCAGCAGGAGAGUAGGAAAUCAUUAGUCAAUCAAUACAAAUAGAUUUGGUGCUGUCAUAUACACAGCAGUUAUUCCUCUUGAUACUGAUGGUUUAUUAUUUGAAUUUACCCUUUUAAAUCAAUCACUUUAUAGCUCCUAAGUCAAUGACUUCUUUUUCAUGUAUUCUAUAUAUGAUGUAUUACUUUAAAAGUUCUUAAGCAAUUUGAAAUUUUAUCUAUAUGCUUUUCCUCUUUCAUCAUUUUGGGUACUAAUCAAGAUUCUUUUUGAGAAUUAAUUGACUUUCACUUUUCAUAAUUAAUUUAAUUUCAAAUUAAUAAGGCCUUGUAAGCAUCUCUCUUGGUUUAAUUCUUCUUUUAAUGCUUUUGCUUUGUACAAAUCAUCUGAUCUUCUUGUUUAUAUUUCAUUUUAAGUAACACAUGUUGAGCAACACAUAAAAUGUCAAAAAUUCUAAUUUAAUUCAUUUCAAAAGUAAGCAACUGAUAAAAAGCAACUCAAAAAAAGUAAACAGUUUUCAGACAUUUUAAUGGUUUUAUUUUUGUUUUUAUUGCACAUAGUCUUUCCUUAUGUAGAAGUUUGUAGCUAUAAAUGGUUGGGUUAUUUAUUUUAAUUACUGUCUACGAAGAAGUUUCUCUCUUUAGAAACAAGUCAGAUGUCAACAUUAAACAUGUGACCAAAAAAA